GGGCAUCUUCGCAGGUCAGCGAAUCAGGCCGCACCGCCUCGACAAGGCGGGGGUCACUGGUUCGAGUCCAGUAUCGCCCA
This 80-nucleotide transfer RNA is filed under the name Actinomycetota bacterium. Its description in RNAcentral is "tRNA-Val". The record is from RNAcentral. Lineage: Bacteria; Bacillati; Actinomycetota.